AUCCAACUGACUAGUUCCAUAUAAGACGAAACGCGCAUCUUGGAU
Molecule: non-coding RNA, 45 nt
Organism: Schistosoma mansoni
Lineage: Eukaryota; Metazoa; Platyhelminthes; Trematoda; Strigeidida; Schistosomatidae
Source: Rfam